This is a non-coding RNA of Parasteatoda tepidariorum (common house spider), 153 nucleotides long. Lineage: Eukaryota; Metazoa; Arthropoda; Arachnida; Araneae; Theridiidae. The record is from RefSeq and is a predicted model, not a curated record.
UUCUUAUCAGCUUAAUAUCUGAUACAGUCCCCAUCGGGGGCUUCAGUAUAUUAAUCUGAUUUUUGGAAACAGGAGAGGGAUAAUGCGGUUUACUGCGACCUCUCCAAGGGUCGUUCCGGUAUUGCAGAAUCCGCCGGAGUUGGCCCACUUUCA